This 125-nucleotide small RNA is filed under the name Marmota monax (woodchuck). The record is from RNAcentral. Lineage: Eukaryota; Metazoa; Chordata; Mammalia; Rodentia; Sciuridae.
GCUGGGCGCGGUGGUGCACGCCUGUAAUCCCAGUGGCUCUGGAGGCCAAGGCAGAAGGAUCAUGGGUUCAAAACCAGCCUCAGCAAAAGUGGGGCAUUAAGCAACUCAGUGAGACCCUGUCUCUA